GAGAGUGCAGCUCAGUGGUACAGCGCAAGCUUAGCAGGCCUGAGGUCCUGGGUUCAAUCCCCAGGACCUUCA
This 72-nucleotide transfer RNA is filed under the name Camelus bactrianus (Bactrian camel). It matches the Rfam family "tRNA". Rfam says of the family: Transfer RNA (tRNA) molecules are approximately 80 nucleotides in length. Their secondary structure includes four short double-helical elements and three loops (D, anti-codon, and T loops). Further hydrogen bonds mediate the characteristic L-shaped molecular structure. tRNAs have two regions of fundamental functional importance: the anti-codon, which is responsible for specific mRNA codon recognition, and the 3' end, to which the tRNAs corresponding amino acid is attached (by aminoacyl-tRNA synthetases). tRNAs cope with the degeneracy of the genetic code in two manners: having more than one tRNA (with a specific anti-codon) for a particular amino acid; and 'wobble' base-pairing, i.e. permitting non-standard base-pairing at the 3rd anti-codon position. Lineage: Eukaryota; Metazoa; Chordata; Mammalia; Artiodactyla; Camelidae. The record is from Rfam by way of RNAcentral. RNAcentral also lists the same sequence under 2 other names.